This 184-nucleotide non-coding RNA is filed under the name Arabidopsis thaliana (thale cress). Lineage: Eukaryota; Viridiplantae; Streptophyta; Magnoliopsida; Brassicales; Brassicaceae. The record is from RNAcentral.
CUUAUUUGGAUCGGUUGGAUCGCGAUAUAUAUCUGUGUCCUCUUUUCGAGUUGUCAAAUUGGCGGUCAAGUCUUUUGUGACAUCGGCGACAUCUUUUGCGGAUUCAGAAGCAGCAAAGAGGCGGCGGGAUGUCCAGAAAUAGGCUUGAGCAAUAGGGGAUGAUGAAGAUAAGUCCCAAGACUCU